This 701-nucleotide ribosomal RNA is filed under the name Shewanella baltica. Its description in RNAcentral is "bacterial SSU rRNA". It matches the Rfam family "Bacterial small subunit ribosomal RNA", at positions 41 to 729 of the family's 1533-position model. Lineage: Bacteria; Pseudomonadati; Pseudomonadota; Gammaproteobacteria; Alteromonadales; Shewanellaceae. The record is from RNAcentral.
GGCAGGCCUAACACAUGCAAGUCGAGCGGCAGCGGGAAGAUAGUUUACUAUCUUUGCCGGCGAGCGGCGGACGGGUGAGUAAUGCCUAGGGAUCUGCCCAGUCGAGGGGGAUAACAGUUGGAAACGACUGCUAAUACCGCAUACGCCCUACGGGGGAAAGGAGGGGACCUUCGGGCCUUCCGCGAUUGGAUGAACCUAGGUGGGAUUAGCUAGUUGGUGAGGUAAUGGCUCACCAAGGCGACGAUCCCUAGCUGUUCUGAGAGGAUGAUCAGCCACACUGGGACUGAGACACGGCCCAGACUCCUACGGGAGGCAGCAGUGGGGAAUAUUGCACAAUGGGGGAAACCCUGAUGCAGCCAUGCCGCGUGUGUGAAGAAGGCCUUCGGGUUGUAAAGCACUUUCAGUAGGGAGGAAAGGUAGCAGCUUAAUACGCUGUUGCUGUGACGUUACCUACAGAAGAAGGACCGGCUAACUCCGUGCCAGCAGCCGCGGUAAUACGGAGGGUCCGAGCGUUAAUCGGAAUUACUGGGCGUAAAGCGUGCGCAGGCGGUUUGUUAAGCGAGAUGUGAAAGCCCCGGGCUCAACCUGGGAAUUGCAUUUCGAACUGGCGAACUAGAGUCUUGUAGAGGGGGGUAGAAUUCCAGGUGUAGCGGUGAAAUGCGUAGAGAUCUGGAGGAAUACCGGUGGCGAAGGCGGCCCCC